Molecule: long non-coding RNA, 2125 nt
Filed under: Homo sapiens (human)
Lineage: Eukaryota; Metazoa; Chordata; Mammalia; Primates; Hominidae
Description: HSALNT0361612
Source: RNAcentral
AUGCCAGAGGCUCUAUUUCCUAGCAUUUUACAGCUCCUAUAACUGUAGAAUGGUUGUAGGUCACAGGUAUAACCAAUGAAAACACAACCUAAGAUACAAAUCAGGAGCUACUGAUGCAAAGAAUGGGGACCAGGAGGAAGAGUUUCUUCGAGACCUGGUGGUUGAAGAGCAGUGGAUCAUUCUUGGCUGUGGUGGGAGAGGUGCUGAACGUUGUUCACGCUGGCUAUGUCAUGAGUGGAAUCUAUGGCGUCAAGGCUAGAGCUGGAGGGAAUGGGCUCCCCAUUGAGGUGAUGGACUUCAUCCCUGGUGCUAUUCAAGCAGUGGCUGUGGGCUUCCAGUCAGGGAUGCAGUGAAUGAGCCUCUUAUACCAGAGAAGGAUGGAUAGAGAAAAGCAUCAUUACAAAAGUGAAAUGUGUGAAUUUUAUUCUGGCUUUGAACAUUGAGUAGACGAAGAAGACAAUUCCAGACGGAGGAAACUCCACAAGAAAUAUCAUGGAAAUUUGAAAGAACACAGUGGGCUUGGGAAGAGACAUUAUUUGAAGAGAGUUUUCCCCUGAGGAAAGUGCUUCAGAGGAGAAAAUACACCAGAAAAAGACAAGGCCCUGCUCUGAGGAGUGAAGACACAAUCCAGCAGGCAGGAGGGAUGGCUAAGUUCAAAGUCUUGAGAAGUGCCCCUCAUGGACACCCCAGGGUGCCCAUCUCCAGGUUACCACCAGGUGCUUCCAAGACCAAGAUAACCAGGCAAUCAUAGUAGAUGCAUCAAUGCACCCUUGCCCAAGGGCCUAGACAAGAGGAGGAAGGAAAGGAGGAGCACGUGCACAAAGCUAAGGAGGUGAUUAACAACAUGAUACAGUAUUGUUUAGCUUCGCAUGAAUUUUAUCACCUUGCCUAGAACCAGCCACCAUCUGCCAGGGCUCCUGACUUUUUCUGAAAUGAAUAGACACUAAAGCCUGCUGGGGAAUUUCAUGGAAAUCAAGAUGACUCAACCCAGAGUCCAUUUCAAGGCUAGGAUGCUAGAGGACGCCAACAAAGGAGUAGGGAAGUGAAACGGAUCAGCUCACAUCCAAGCCCUUGCAUGAUCAAUCCUGCAGUAGGAGUGCUGCUCAGUUGGGACUCAUGAGAGCCCGGAAGAGGAAAAAGCAGCUCUAAGCAUAGCAAAGAAGCUGUUAUGGAAAAGACCCAAAUGUUAAAAUGGUGGACAUAGUAAAGUGAUUGGUUCUGCUUAGGGGAAUCUAGAUCCCCACAUUUUGACCUCCACUGGAGUCUCAGAAGAACAAGUGCCAGGGGGGCUUGCCACAGAGGCCAAGGCAGUGAAUGUCAGGCACAUCACAGUCCCCAAGAUGGGGAGAAGACUGAGAUGCAGGGUAACAACUGCAAUCCAUUCAUGGGAGCCAUGUUUAUCUUAAAUCAUUGACAGUGAGAUAAGGAUCAUGUCAGCCUUCAUACCUUUGAUGAUGAUCCCAGGCUGCAACAGUGACACAUAGAACUGGAUUCAGUAACUAACUACAGAUUCCAUCAACCAGGACUAGUAAAGUGAAAGGCAGAAAUUGGGAGGAGGGGUUUCUUUCUUGCUUAUAAAACUUUAUUUGGUUGUGUUGAGUAUGUGCAUGUAUGUAUGAAAUCCCAUAAAGCAGUCUUCUUAGGAACAAGCCAACAUGCCACAAUGUAGGAGAUCUUUGGAGCACUGGCCUAAAUGGCAGAGAGCUCAAGGGACUCUGCUUUGUACAAGGCAUGAUUUGUACCACCACCACUAUCCCUGUUUCAGAGCACUGUUGAAUUGUUCCAAACCUGGAUUUCUAUGUCAGCUCCCUGUCUAUAGUACUUGACUGAUAAAUGCUAGUUUCUGAAAUCUGCUUUGGUUCUAUAAUUUAUUAGACAGCUUUUUCUUCCCAUUUUAUUACUUGUUUUUACUGUCAUUGGUAUAUUAUCUCUUACAGUGAAAACAUUCAUAGGCUGAUUGAAGAGAAGAUCUGAAAUUAUUAGGCAGCAAGCAUACAAAACCCUUGCUUUAUAAAGAUAAUAUCUUAAAGGCCUAAUGUCUAUGGUUCAAAGCAGCCUGGAGAUGUUGGCUAAAUCUUCCAUCAUAGAGUCCUCAUGGGAUCUGGAAGCUCUGAUUUAUCUUCCU